This 921-nucleotide long non-coding RNA is filed under the name Chinchilla lanigera (long-tailed chinchilla). RNAcentral describes it as "lncRNA (ENSCLAG00000026860.1)". The record is from RNAcentral. Lineage: Eukaryota; Metazoa; Chordata; Mammalia; Rodentia; Chinchillidae.
CGUUCCCUCGGAUGAGCAAGCAGCAGCCGGCAGCCCUUGACUGCCGUGGCCAGCAGGCCGCUCCCCCACCACAGCACCUCUCAGCAGCCAUGGGACCCCCAUUCUCGAGGCCUCGGUCACCCUGAUGACCCAUCCUGCUUCUCCCCUGGUGCCCGCAUCUGGGGACUUCCGUGAUGCUGAGCUGAACCUGCCCUCAGGUCUGUGUUCCAGCUCCAGCCCGCUGCUCUCCAUCAGCGCAAAUUUGGAGUAAGCAGUGCGAGAAGGCCGAGCCCCAUGCGGCCCCGGGGUCUGCCUUGUGCAGACGAGCCCCUGCACCCUCAGGGCUGCCCUGGGACCCCCGCUGCUGAUGGGAGGAGACGGGCUUGGAAGGGCCCCUGCGGCCAUCGUGACGUGUCCACCACCACCGGCUUUCAUAGGCAAGGCGGCUCCCUCCAUAACGCGCGUGUGUGUGCUUCCUGUGAGAGCGUUUGCACAGUGAGCGCGCCCGUGUCUGCCGCGCCUGCCUGUGCUGCUGCCCCUGAAGCCCUGGGUGGUGUGCUCUUGCCUGCCCUGCUCGAGUACCGAGCCUGCAGGCAGCGGGGAGCAGGGACUCAGUGGCAUCCCCGUCUCUGCUGCAGAGCACCCUUGCGUCCCAGGAGGGCCUCGGUGCCGGGGUGGCUGCCCUUCCUCCCUGCGGCGUGGAAGUGCCAGCGAGGAGGCUGCACACAGCCCCAACUGCUCCUCCCCUUCGCCCAGGGCGGAAGGCUGCGGGCGGGAGCUGAGGCCCCACACCCAGCACAGGCCGCUGCUGCCGGAUAUGAAGACCCCAGGUCUCAGCAUGGCUGGACGCACGGCCCAGCCCCUGCAGGCACCAGGUGGCCUGAGGAAGACGAAGAUAAAGGCACCAGGCACAGGGAAGAUCCUCCUGCCAGUCCUUCCUGA